Molecule: ribosomal RNA, 397 nt
Filed under: uncultured bacterium
Lineage: Bacteria
Description: partial 16S ribosomal RNA
Rfam family: Bacterial small subunit ribosomal RNA
Source: RNAcentral
AUACGUAGGGAGCAAGCGUUGUCCGGAAUUACUGGGCGUAAAGGGCGCGUAGGCGGGUAUUUAAGUCAGGUGUGAAAACUCCGGGCUCAACUUGGUGAUUGCACUUGAAACUGGGUAUCUUGAGGGCAGGAGAGGUAAGUGGAAUUCCUAGUGUAGCGGUGAAAUUCGUAGAUAUUAGGAGGAACACCAGUGGCGAAGGCGACUUUCUGGACUGUACCUGACGCUGAGGCGCGAAAGCGUGGGUAGCGAACGGGAUUAGAUUCCCCGGUAGUCCACGCUGUAAACGAUGAAUACUAGGUGUAGGAGGUAUCGACCCCUUCUGUGCCGCAGUUAACACAAUAAGUAUUCCGCCUGGGGAGUACGAUCGCAAGAUUGAAACUCAAAGGAAUUGACGGGG